RNAcentral lists this ribosomal RNA (465 nucleotides) under Vreelandella stevensii. RNAcentral describes it as "partial 16S ribosomal RNA". It matches the Rfam family "Bacterial small subunit ribosomal RNA", at positions 338 to 795 of the family's 1533-position model. Lineage: Bacteria; Pseudomonadati; Pseudomonadota; Gammaproteobacteria; Oceanospirillales; Halomonadaceae. The record is from RNAcentral.
CCUACGGGGGGCAGCAGUGGGGAAUAUUGGACAAUGGGGGGAACCCUGAUCCAGCCAUGCCGCGUGUGUGAAGAAGGCCCUCGGGUUGUAAAGCACUUUCAGUGAGGAAGAACGCCUGGUGGUUAAUACCCAUCAGGAAAGACAUCACUCACAGAAGAAGCACCGGCUAACUCCGUGCCAGCAGCCGCGGUAAUACGGAGGGUGCGAGCGUUAAUCGGAAUUACUGGGCGUAAAGCGCGCGUAGGUGGCUUGAUAAGCCGGUUGUGAAAGCCCCGGGCUCAACCUGGGAACGGCAUCCGGAACUGUCAAGCUAGAGGGCAGGAGAGGAAGGUAGAAUUCCCAGUGUAGCGGUGAAAUGCGUAGAGAUCGGGAGGAAUACCAGUGGCGAAGGCGGCCUUCUGGACUGACACUGACACUGAGGUGCGAAAGCGUGGGUAGCAAACAGGAUUAGAUACCCGAGUAGUC